Molecule: transfer RNA, 68 nt
Filed under: Marmota monax (woodchuck)
Lineage: Eukaryota; Metazoa; Chordata; Mammalia; Rodentia; Sciuridae
Description: tRNA.Ala
Source: RNAcentral
GGAGCUGUAGCUCAAUGGCAGAUGCUUGCCUGGCAUGCAUGAGGCACUGGGUUCGAUCCUCAGCACCA